AAGAUUUUUUAAUCUGACUUAUUUAUCCAGCAUGGGAAAACACCAAGGACUCUAAGCAUAUUUCCUAUGAAUACAUUUUUUAACCCUGAAUAUGUCAGGUACUUCUACUAUUGUUUCUCUCUUGGAAAAAAAAAAAAAAAAGACAGAAAAAAAAAAGACAGAAAAAAAAAAAAAAGCAGAUAUUUAAGUGUCACAACUUUAAAAAGCCAAAAUAAAGGAAAAGCAGUCAGAUGCUUUAAUGGCACAAAGUGCCAUUAAAUUAAUUUUUUAUGAGAACAGAAAUACUGAAAAAAAAUGAGACCUAAAAGUUGUGGCCUGUGUGGCAGAAAAUUAGCUCUUGGGAAUAGGAGAACAGAAUGGGGAGAGGAGGUAGAGUGGAUUUUUUUUUAUCUGCAUUUGCUGCAAAGAUUUCUGACAAGAGUAUCUGUUAACUGCCCGAUUUGCAUAAAUCUUCUUCAACUGAAGCUCAAGCAUACUGGUGGCAGCAAUUUCCUUGCAACAGUGGCUAAGAUCAUCUGUCAUGAAAUUUUCUGGAGUGAUUGAGGUAAAAAUAAAAACGUUCUGAUAUUUUCCCCUGGGAGAGUGCAAGUUGUUUCUUUGGCUUAAAUAGGCUUUAACUGCAUCCAACAGAGUGAUGCUUCAUAGUGUAUUAUUAGCAUGAUCAAAAAGAAUGUUAGUAUGAAGAGCAGAGCACUAUCCAGUGUUAAGCACCGCUUGUAUAUUUGUCAUCUAUUUUUUAGAAAUUCUGAAAUUUCAAAGUGGAAUCUUUUCAUAGCACUUUAUUCAGUACCUUCGCUUGUGUUUACUCCUGGAUUAUUUCAUUUUCCUAACUACAUAUUUGCAAUCACAGUGUGUAAGGUUCACAUAUUACAUUUGAAAGUCUUUUUCACAAGGACUAAAAGAACCAGCUACAUAAAUUCACAGAUGUUGAGGUAAAAAGGUGAGGGAUCUCCUGUAACCGAAGCAGUGGGACAACUAUUAGAGGAGGAUUUUGUUGUGAUUUCUAGGACUGCUAAAUUUAGUAGAUCUUAAAAAACUUCCAAACUACUAACAGGGUAACCAAAUGUUACUUCUUGACAGU
Gallus gallus (chicken) is the source of this 1081-nucleotide long non-coding RNA. Lineage: Eukaryota; Metazoa; Chordata; Aves; Galliformes; Phasianidae. The record is from Ensembl.